AGGACGAACGCUGGCGGCGUGCUUAACACAUGCAAGUCGAGCGGAAAGGCCCUUCGGGGUACUCGAGCGGCGAACGGGUGAGUAACACGUGAGUAACCUGCCCCUAGCUCUGGGAUAGCUCCGGGAAACCGGGAUUAAUACCAGAUACGACCACUUUAGACAUCUGUCGUGGUGGAAAGGAUUCCGGCUAGGGAUGGGCUCGCGGCCUAUCAGCUUGUUGGUGGGGUAACGGCCUACCAAGGCGACGACGGGUAGCCGGCCUGAGAGGGCGACCGGCCACACUGGGACUGAGACACGGCCCAGACUCCUACGGGAGGCAGCAGUGGGGAAUAUUGCGCAAUGGGCGAAAGCCUGACGCAGCGACGCCGCGUGGGGGAUGAAGGCCUUCGGGUUGUAAACCCCGUUUCAGCAGGGACGAAGCGAAAGUGACGGUACCUGCAGAAGAAGCGCCGGCUAACUACGCGCCAGCAGCCGC
RNAcentral lists this ribosomal RNA (475 nucleotides) under uncultured bacterium. RNAcentral describes it as "SSU rRNA". It matches the Rfam family "Bacterial small subunit ribosomal RNA", at positions 26 to 518 of the family's 1533-position model. The record is from RNAcentral.